UCUAAUAUGGCAGACUAUAUGUANUGGAUUUAACCCAUUUAUAAAGGAAUAUCCUUUUUUUAGAA
This 65-nucleotide transfer RNA is filed under the name Heliconius hecalesia formosus. RNAcentral's name for it is "tRNA-Leu". The record is from RNAcentral. Lineage: Eukaryota; Metazoa; Arthropoda; Insecta; Lepidoptera; Nymphalidae.